This 259-nucleotide ribosomal RNA is filed under the name Enterococcus faecium. RNAcentral describes it as "partial 16S ribosomal RNA". It matches the Rfam family "Bacterial small subunit ribosomal RNA", at positions 794 to 1051 of the family's 1533-position model. The record is from RNAcentral. Lineage: Bacteria; Bacillati; Bacillota; Bacilli; Lactobacillales; Enterococcaceae.
UCCACGCCGUAAACGAUGAGUGCUAAGUGUUGGAGGGUUUCCGCCCUUCAGUGCUGCAGCUAACGCAUUAAGCACUCCGCCUGGGGAGUACGACCGCAAGGUUGAAACUCAAAGGAAUUGACGGGGGCCCGCACAAGCGGUGGAGCAUGUGGUUUAAUUCGAAGCAACGCGAAGAACCUUACCAGGUCUUGACAUCCUUUGACCACUCUAGAGAUAGAGCUUCCCCUUCGGGGGCAAAGUGACAGGUGGUGCAUGGUUG